Molecule: long non-coding RNA, 813 nt
Organism: Phascolarctos cinereus (koala)
Lineage: Eukaryota; Metazoa; Chordata; Mammalia; Diprotodontia; Phascolarctidae
Source: RefSeq, a predicted model, not a curated record
CCUGUUGGUGUCUCUGCAGCAGCGGCUCCAAGGCGCACACGCGGAGCACCAGCAAGUUGCGGAGCAGCUCCCAGCUGGUGCGGCUCUGAGAGAAUCAUCUACCUUGCGCUGUCUUCCGUUUCCUCACCCCUCACUUCUCCACCCCUGGUGAUCUGGCUUCGGAUCUCAUCCCUCCGCUGGAACGACUCUCUCCAAGGACACAAUCUCCUCAUUUCUACAUCUGAUGGCCUCUUCUCAGAUCCCAGCAUCCUUCCCUUUGGGCAGUAUUUGACUUUGUGGACUACCCUCCACCGCGGGGGGGCAAACUGGGCCCUUUGAAAACAAACUCACUUCUGUUUUCGCCACACCGCGGAGUCCUGGACUGGAAGUCUUACUCUAGUAUCUGUUAGUCUUCAGACUGUGGGCAAGUCACUUCUCUAAUCUGGGCCACAGUUUCCUUUUCAGUAAAGUGGGCAUAAUCAGUCACCCAUUUAUUGCAAGCACUUACGGAGCACAGUACUUGUGCCAGGUUCUGCUAUCCGAAAACGGGUUCCAUAGACGGUCCCUGCCCUCAGGGAGCUUAUAGUCUAUCCCGCAGGGGUGGGCUGCCACCCGGUUAUACUCAUUGCACACCCUCCCAUUGAUUGCACUUUGGCUCAGUGGAACUGCGACAUUAACAAAAAGCAAUACUGAAAAUAUUAUGAAAAAUGUUUCCUCUAAAGCCCUUUCUAGACUCUUGGAAAGUCCCUUGGAAAGGCAGUUGAUAUAAGUCAGGGCCAAGGGAAAAAAAGCUCUUCAUUAGGGGAAUGUAUUAAAGGUGAUGACCAAAUUCAA